RNAcentral lists this ribosomal RNA (459 nucleotides) under uncultured bacterium. Its description in RNAcentral is "partial 16S ribosomal RNA". It matches the Rfam family "Bacterial small subunit ribosomal RNA", at positions 338 to 795 of the family's 1533-position model. The record is from RNAcentral.
ACUACGGGAGGCAGCAGUGAGGAAUAUUGGUCAAUGGCCGGAAGGCUGAACCAGCCAAGCCGCGUGAAGGACGAAGGUGCCAAGCAUUGUAAACUUCUUUUGUCAAGGGACAAAAUCAGGCUCGAGAGCCUGACCGAGGGUACUUGAAGAAAAAGCAUCGGCUAACUCCGUGCCAGCAGCCGCGGUAAUACGGGGGAUGCGAGCGUUAUCCGGAUUUAUUGGGUUUAAAGGGUGCGUAGGCGGCCUGUUAAGUCAGCUGGAAAAACCCGGGGCUCAACCCCGGCGAGCCGUAGAUACUGGCUGUCUUGAGAUGUCGAGAGGUAUGCGGAAUGCGCAGUGUAGCGGUGAAAUGCGUAGAUAUUGCGCAGAACUCCGAUUGCGAAGGCAGCAUACCGGCGGCGAUCUGACGCUGAGGCACGAAAGCGUGGGUAUCGAACAGGAUUAGAUACCCGAGUAGUC